RNAcentral lists this small nuclear RNA (370 nucleotides) under Aotus nancymaae (Ma's night monkey). Its description in RNAcentral is "7SK RNA (ENSANAG00000008314.1)". The stretch from base 1 to 297 matches the Rfam family "7SK RNA". Rfam says of the family: 7SK was discovered as an abundant small nuclear RNA in the mid-70s but a possible function has only recently been suggested. Two independent studies have found that 7SK RNA binds the CDK9/cyclin T complex (known as elongation factor P-TEFb). Lineage: Eukaryota; Metazoa; Chordata; Mammalia; Primates; Aotidae. The record is from Rfam by way of RNAcentral.
GAUAUUGAGCGUGAUCUGGCUGCAACAUCUGUUACCCCAUAAAUUGCCAGGGUUGAUUCAGCUGAUCUGGCUGGCUAUGUGAGUGUUCCCUUCCUCUCUCACCUCUCCAUGUACAUCCCUCCCAAAGCUGUGCGCUUGGUCAAAGAGGACAACCGUCCUCGAUAGAGGAGGACUGGUCUUCGGUCAAGGGUAUACAAGUAGCUGCACUCCCCUGCUAGAACCUCCAAACAAGUUCUCAUUGAGGACCAAUGUAAACUUUAACCUCAGACUGACAGCAAAUAGCUGGAGAGAUUCCAGAUCCCAUAGCAACAUCCAAGACAAGGAGAAGAGGAAGAAAAUAGCUAAGUGAAAAAGAGAGUUUCUCUUUCUU